CCGCUCCGGACGUUUCCAGGCUUAAUAGGGAAGACCGGUGCAAAUCCGGCACGGACCCGCCACUGUAAGAAGCGCCGCCCCGCUAGCGGAUGCGGCAAUCGCAUUCAAUUUUCGCGCCACUGGAUCGGCCGAUCCGGGAAGGCUGUGAAUGCGGUCAAGCUUCGAGUCAGGAGACCUGCCUGUUUUAUCGACGCUGA
This 197-nucleotide non-coding RNA is filed under the name Paenibacillus sp. Lineage: Bacteria; Bacillati; Bacillota; Bacilli; Caryophanales; Paenibacillaceae. The record is from RNAcentral.